RNAcentral lists this small nuclear RNA (21 nucleotides) under Arabidopsis thaliana (thale cress). Its description in RNAcentral is "snRNA_14144". The record is from RNAcentral. Lineage: Eukaryota; Viridiplantae; Streptophyta; Magnoliopsida; Brassicales; Brassicaceae.
GUCUGUCGCUGGACUCAGCGA